CCCACUCUCAGGCUGGUGGGGUGGGGAAAGCAGCCCAUUCCUGGGCUCAGAGACUCCCACCCCAGCUCAGAGGGAGCAGGGGCCCAGCCAGGGACGGACCCCCAUUCCUCCCAGGGACCCCAGACCUCUGUCUCUCUCGGGUAAGUCUCCAUCUCUGUCUGUCUGUCUGUCUCUGUCUCUGCCUGUUUUCCACGCGCUCAGCAAGGCCUCCUGCCCUGAGAGAGGCUCCGCCCACUACUCCCCCUUCCCCCAUAAAACCAGCUGAGUCUCCGUGCCAGGAAGGCUGCGUGCACUGGAGCUGGGUCAUCUCAGGUGGGGAGUUGGGGUCCCCGAAGGUGAGGACCCUCUGGGGAGGAGGGUGCUUCUCUGAGACACUUUUCCUCACACCUGUUCCUCGCCAGCAGGCCUUGGCUCCUUGAACUUUUGGCCGCCAUGUGCUUCGCGAAGGUCCACUCUGCUGCAAUUAAAGAUCUGAGGGCCCGAAUGGUAAUGCUCCUCCCUACUUCUGCUCAGGGAUUGGGGGUCUGGGUCUCAGCCUGUGACACUGAGGGCACUAUGGGACACCGGGGACCCUGGAGGGACAAGGAUCAGGCCCUUUGGUGCCAACACUGCCUCUCUUCACAGCAUCAAGCCGUAGACAGAUAUUGUGAUGAAAUGGAAAAUGAAGAAUCAGGAUGUGGACAGGUGGGUGGAUUUGCCCUCAGGCACCAGGUCACAUGUCCCCACCCCCAGGCUCUCCACCCUGUGGGGGGCUCAGGGUAAGAAGGAUGAAGAGGGACCCACAGGCUCCCUCAUCCCUUACCCUGGGCAAAUGCUUGCACCUGGGUGGCAGUGAGUGGGCGGGUGGGGGAUCUGGACGCCCGGGGAGACUGAGGGAGGCGUUCAAGCCCCAGGGCUCCUUGAGG
RNAcentral lists this small RNA (905 nucleotides) under Pongo abelii (Sumatran orangutan). RNAcentral describes it as "retained intron". The record is from RNAcentral. Lineage: Eukaryota; Metazoa; Chordata; Mammalia; Primates; Hominidae.